Non-coding RNA from Petromyzon marinus (sea lamprey), 945 nucleotides. NCBI's taxonomy places the organism in Eukaryota, Metazoa, Chordata, Hyperoartia, Petromyzontiformes, Petromyzontidae. The record is from RefSeq and is a predicted model, not a curated record.
CCUGUGGUAGUACCUGUGGUGCCUGUAUUAGUACCUGUGAUACCUGUAGUACCUGUGGUAGAACCUCCUGCUGCUGGGCCUGGCGGUGAAACUCUGUGACACGGCUAGACCCAGCAGGUACCUCUAGUACCUGUGGUAGUACCUGUGGUACCUCUAGUAGUACCUGUAGUAGUAGUAGUACCUCCUGCUGCUGGGGCUGGCGGAGAAACUCUGUGACACGGCUAGGCCUAGCAAGAACCUGUAGUAAUACCUGUGGUAGUACCUCUAGUACCUGUGGUACCUGUGGUACCUGUAGUAGUACUACCUCCUGCUGCUGGGACUGGCGGUGAAACUUUGUGACACGGCUAGGCCUAGCAGGUACCUGUGGUAGUACCUCUAGUACCUGUGGUACCUGUGGUACCUGUGGUAGUACCUGUGGUACCUGUAGUAGUACCUGUAGUACUACCUCCUGCUGCUGGGCCUGGUGGUGAAACUCUGUGACACGGCUAGGCCUAGCAGGCCACCCCCUGUGCUCGCUUUUCUCUGCGUCUGCACGGGGCUCUCGCUGCUGUGGAUGGGGGUCCACCGGUGCCUGGAGAGACCCCCUCGAGACUCCGCCGUGAGGGACCCCCACGCAGGGCCGGCCUGGCUCAGAGUGGCUCUGGUGGUGUUUGCGGUCCCCUCUCUCGCCAUGUCGGCGUCUGACGCCGCAGUGGCCCUGGGGGGUGCCAGCGGCUGCCCCCAGGGCAGUCUCACGCUGCCCCUGGGGCACGCGGCCCUACAGGCAGCCUUCACUCUCACACUGGUCAGUGAACACGUGACACACGUGAACACACUCACACGUGAACACACACUACACUAUACACUAUACACUACACUAUACACUACACAAGUGGACAGUCUCACGCUGCCCCUGGGGCACGCGGCCCUCCAGGCAGCCUUCACUCUCACACUGGUCAGUGAACA